AUGGCCCGCGAGGAGGGUUCGCGCAUCACCGGGAGCAUGGCGUCCGACGAGAGCGCGGCCAAGCAUGCGUUGGCCGCCGGCGAGGAGCGCCCGUUAAAGCCAUGCCGAGAUGCUUCGACGGAGAAGCGCCCGCUGAAGCCGUGCGCCGCCAAAAGGAAGGCGGAGACAGGCGACGACGACGACGAGCUGCUCGCCGCCAAGAAGAAGGCCUUCUACGCCAAGUCAGGUCCAAGCAGAAAGAUGAGGCGGCUGCCGCGGGCGGAGGUGGCCUCCAUCCUUUCCAGUCGGACCCAUCCCGAUCGCGCCCCUCCAUCCUUUCCGGGUUCUGGACCCAUCCCGAUCGCGCGACUUCUAUGA
This 357-nucleotide ribosomal RNA is filed under the name Triticum aestivum (bread wheat). Its description in RNAcentral is "partial small subunit ribosomal RNA". Lineage: Eukaryota; Viridiplantae; Streptophyta; Magnoliopsida; Poales; Poaceae. The record is from RNAcentral.